Molecule: ribosomal RNA, 387 nt
Filed under: uncultured bacterium
Lineage: Bacteria
Description: partial 16S ribosomal RNA
Rfam family: Bacterial small subunit ribosomal RNA
Source: RNAcentral
AUACGUAGGGGGCGAGCGUUGUCCGGAAUGAUUGGGCGUAAAGGGCGCGUAGGCGGCCCGGUAAGUCUGGAGUGAAAGUCCUGUUUUUAAGAUGGGAAUUGCUUUGGAUACUGUCGGGCUUGAGUGCAGGAGAGGUAAGUGGAAUUCCCAGUGUAGCGGUGAAAUGCGUAGAGAUUGGGAGGAACACCAGUGGCGAAGGCGACUUACUGGACUGUAACUGACGCUGAGGCGCGAAAGUGUGGGGAGCAAACAGGAUUAGAUACCCUAGUAGUCCACGCCGUAAACGAUGAGUACUAAGUGUCGGGUAACCGGUGCUGAAGUUAACACAUUAAGUACUCCGCCUGAGUAGUACGGUCGCAAGGUUGAAACUCAAAUGAAUUGACGGGG